UACGUAGGGGGCGAGCGUUGUCCGGAUUUAUUGGGCGUAAAGAGCGUGUAGGCGGCCAGGUAGGUCUGGUGUGAAAACUCGAGGCUUAACCUCGAGAUGUCAUCGGAAACCAUUUGGCUAGAGUCCGGAAGAGGAGAGUGGAAUUCCUGGUGUAGCGGUGAAAUGCGCAGAUAUCAGGAAGAACACCAAUGGCGAAAGCAGCUCUCUGGGACGGUACUGACGCUGAGGCGCGAAAGCGUGGGGAGCAAACAGG
This 253-nucleotide ribosomal RNA is filed under the name uncultured bacterium. RNAcentral's name for it is "partial 16S ribosomal RNA". It matches the Rfam family "Bacterial small subunit ribosomal RNA", at positions 524 to 776 of the family's 1533-position model. The record is from RNAcentral.